GCAGGGGGUUGUGGGUAUGCGGCUAGAGGGAAGGUUCCAGACACGUCGAGAGUGGGAAACUUAAAUUCCCCUCUCUGGUGUAGGCGCAGGCUUUAGCUCCAGGAUCUUUUCUGGAAGAGACUGGGGCAGCAUGAAUGUGCUGGAAGAUUAGAGGCUGCUGAUGCUGAAGGAAGGAGAAACGAGGAGGAAGUGUCCCUGUGGACAAGUCAUCUCCCUUCAUUUAAGCCAGGGAAGGCUGGGAGGUAUGAAUUUGAAGCUGGACACGUUGCUGCUCCCCUUAAAGUUUGGAUUAUUUUACUAAAGAAGAAGAGAACAGGAUCUUGUGUCUUCUACCAGUAUCCAUGAGAUUGUGGCAGGCUAAAAUCACAGACUCUUCAGAGUUUUCAUAAUGAUAAAGUAAAUAUUGCAAAGUACACAUACAAUAAGUGUACAAUUGAUGAAUCCUACAAAGUGAACUCACUCAUGUAACCAGCACCAGAUGAAGAAAAAAACAUCAGCAGCAUCACAGAAGCCCCCCAAAUGUCCCCUUCAGUCAAUAGCCUCCCAAAGAUAACCACACUCCUAUCUAGCAGUGUGGGUUAAUUUUUCCUGUUUUUGAACUUUGCAUAUAUUAAAUCAUACAACAUGUA
Long non-coding RNA from Homo sapiens (human), 629 nucleotides. Ensembl annotates it as long intergenic non-protein coding RNA 237. NCBI's taxonomy places the organism in Eukaryota, Metazoa, Chordata, Mammalia, Primates, Hominidae. The record is from Ensembl.